RNAcentral lists this ribosomal RNA (502 nucleotides) under uncultured bacterium. RNAcentral describes it as "partial 16S ribosomal RNA". It matches the Rfam family "Bacterial small subunit ribosomal RNA", at positions 29 to 523 of the family's 1533-position model. The record is from RNAcentral.
AUUGAACGCUGGCGGCGUGCUUAACACAUGCAAGUCGAGCGGUAACAGGCGUAGCAAUACGUGCUGACGAGCGGCGAACGGGUGCGUAAUACAUGGGAAUCUGCCCUUUGGUGGGGAAUAACCCGGCGAAGGCCGGGCUAAUGCCGCAUAAGAUCUUAGGAUGAAAGCGGGGGAUCGUAAGACCUCGGGCCGACGGAUGAGCCCAUGUCGGAUUAGCUAGUUGGUGAGGAAACGGCUCCCCAAGGCGACGAUCCGUAGCUGGUCUGAGAGGACGGCCAGCCACACUGGGACUGAGACACGGCCCAGACUCCUACGGGAGGCAGCAGUGGGGAAUAUUGGACAAUGGGGGAAACCCUGAUCCAGCGACGCCGCGUGUGUGAAGAAGGCCUGCGGGUUGUAAAGCACUUUCGAUGGGAACGAAAUGUGCCGGGCUAAUACCCCGGCAAGCUGACGUUACUCAAUGAAGAAGCACCGGCUAACUCUGUGCCAGCAGCCGCAGUAA